GACGUAGGGCGCGAGCGUUGUCCGGAUUUAUUGGGCGUAAAGAGCUCGUAGGCGGCUUGUUGCGUCGACUGUGAAAACCCGCGGCUUAACCGCGGGCUUGCAGUUGAUACGGGCAGGCUAGAGUUCGGUAGGGGGGACUGGAAUUCCUGGUGUAGCGGUGAAAUGCGCAGAUAUCAGGAGGAACACCGGUGGCGAAGGCGGGUCUCUGGGCCGAUACUGACGCUGAGGAGCGAAAGCGUGGGGAGCGAACAGG
RNAcentral lists this ribosomal RNA (253 nucleotides) under uncultured bacterium. RNAcentral describes it as "partial 16S ribosomal RNA". It matches the Rfam family "Bacterial small subunit ribosomal RNA", at positions 524 to 776 of the family's 1533-position model. The record is from RNAcentral.